Molecule: unclassified non-coding RNA, 529 nt
Filed under: Hevea brasiliensis (rubber tree)
Lineage: Eukaryota; Viridiplantae; Streptophyta; Magnoliopsida; Malpighiales; Euphorbiaceae
Source: RNAcentral
AAAACUCCAGUAUGGAAGCAAAAGAUCUUUAAGCUACCAAGAAUGCUAAAACUAUUAACAAUACUUUGUGAUUUCAAAAGAAAAGCAAGAUGGAAGAGCAAACUGUUGUACAGAAGCUUUAAUAAUAGCUUAAGUUCUGCUGGCAAAGGCAACAGCUUCUUCAUGUGAAGUGUUGUAAAAUGAGCUUAAUUUGGUUAUAGCGAGUGCUUCUCCAAACAGAGAUGCCCUUGUGGAUUUCGUGAUGUGUACUUCAACAUAAUCACCAACCUUUGGAUUGCGCUUUCCAUUAUUAUCAACCUUAUCUGGGAUAAGCAGGUUCGUAAAUGAUACCCUAUGGCCUCUAUCGCUCUUACCAAUUAACUCUGUGUCGGGGGCUCUCUUAUUUGGCCCUUCAACUAGCACAAGUUGGAUUGUACCAAUUUUAGCGUCAUAGCACUGACCUGUACUCCCGCGAAAAGCUUCUAUUAGUUCUGUGAGCCUCCUCUGCUUCACAUCUUCAGGAACAUCAUCAACAUAUUUUCUGUGCGCG